Molecule: long non-coding RNA, 625 nt
Filed under: Ananas comosus (pineapple)
Lineage: Eukaryota; Viridiplantae; Streptophyta; Magnoliopsida; Poales; Bromeliaceae
Description: long non-coding RNA (ACOM_LNC023645)
Source: RNAcentral
GCCCACAAAAUCAAACCAACAAAAUCCUACACUAAUUACUCUCUCUCUCUCGCCCUCUCAUUCACUUGCUUGCAUAGUCGCUUCUCCUAAAUUAUUAUUUUUAAAUAUUAUAAUACUGUAUUCAUGUAUUUAUUUUGAUUGUUGAACUAUUCGGCAUGUUUUUAUAUCAAAUUUUAGAUAAUAUCUUAUAAAAAUGAAAAACUUUAAAUAACAUUAAUGUGGUUUCGCGCUUUCUCACUUUAGUACUCCGUGGUUUAAAAUGUAUCACUUUAGUACCGUGUGGUUUCAUUUUCUCUUCCGUUAUUCUCUACAUUAAUUUUUUCGUUAAAUCAGUGAUAAAGUUAAAAUCACAGAAUGCUAAAGUGAAAAUUUGAUAAACCACAGAGUACUAAAGUGCAUAUUUAAUAAACCAUAGGUGAGGUAUUUGAAAUUUUUUUGUAUAUAAAAAAAUGAAACCAACCAUGAAAUACUAAAAUAAUAUACUUUAAACCACAUAGUAUUAAAGUAAAAAAAGGCAAAAUCAUAGGAGUGGUAUUUAAAGUUUACCUUAUAAAAAUUAAAUUGUAAAUUGCCCGAUUUUAAUAAUUUCAAGUGGUUUGUUUUUGGCUCGAAUUCGCUAGACUCG